Molecule: long non-coding RNA, 5153 nt
Organism: Anser brachyrhynchus (Pink-footed goose)
Lineage: Eukaryota; Metazoa; Chordata; Aves; Anseriformes; Anatidae
Source: Ensembl
GUGAUUGAUAACAUAAAAGAGGAUGCAGAGUCAAAGCAAAAGAACUAGGAUGGAAGAAUUGUAAAAGGAAAUGAAUCACCAUAUAGGCUGUGGUUACACACAGCCUUGAAAAAAAGUCUACGUGGUUUGAUUUUGGUGAUGAAGGACUGGCUUUGUGCCUGGAAGGCCACAUUGCAGCAGCUGUUUAGUGCAGCAUUGCCCCAGAUGGAUCACUGAAAGAAAAAAAAAGGGGGGGGAGGCAGGGUCGAAAGAAGAAAAAACAUGGACACAGGAACAUAAACAAGACAAAAGUACUACAUCUAAAUGUGUUUUUUUUUAAGUAAAAAAUAAAUACUCCAAGAAUCAUGAAGGAUUUCUGCUGACGGCAGAAAAACAAUCUAAGACAGGGUGACAAGUUACAAAAGGAAACGACAGGUGCUGAAAGCCAGAAAGGGGCUGAGAAGUACAGCCAUGUGCUAGGGACCACUCAUUGAGCCGGACGCAGGGAAGAAUCGAUCCCAUUCCAGGGGCCGGGGGCUUAGCCUCACACCCUCACUCGACCGUACAAAUCAAUUUUCUUUUUGAGCUGCGGCAUGCAGGAGUCUAAAGAUCUCCGCAAGCAUUUGCUACAGGGACGGCACCACCUGAGCAACCCCUAACUUCUCCCGCGGUGACGGUGACAGCUCUGCCCACCGCCGCAGAGGAGGAGGUGACUGCACAUGCGCUGUGCGACACGGCGUACCUCCCUUCCGGCCGCCAUCUGGCUAUCUGCCGCGGCUGUACUUGGCCCCUUGUUCCUGUUUGCGGUUUUCGUGUUUUUUCCCGUUUCGGUAGCGCUGUGCUUGCCCCAGGAAGAUGAAAGAAACAAUCAUGAAUCAAGAAAAGCUUGCCAAGCUCCAGGCUCAAGUGCGCAUUGGUGGCAAGGAUUUCGCACUUGUUCAGGGGUGAAGUUCAAAACCAUCGGAGGAGACAACUGUGACAGGUACCUGCCCAUAUCCUCCCACCCACCUUGCCACCCACCACCAUGCUGCCUCGGGGUAGAAUCCUGGGUGGUAUUCUUCACUAAUUGUUCACUCCAUUCACUACUGCUCUCUGGGCCCAUCUGUCCAUACAGUUUUUAACCCAGCAAAGGGUGUACCUGUCUCUUAAUAUGCUUUAAAUUUUGGUUAGCCCUGAAGUGGUCAGGCAGUUGGACUAGAUGAUCUUUGGACGUCUCUUCCAACUGAACUAUUCUAUUCUAUUGCAUGAACCACAUAAAACAGGAUCACAUAGUACAAUCACAGAAUCACAGAAUAGCCGAGGUUGGAAGGGACCUCUAAAGAUCAUAGAAUCAUAGAAUGGCCUGAGUUGGAAAGGACCACAAAGAUCAUCUAGUUCCAACCACCCUGCCAUAGGCAGGGACACCAUCCACUAGAUCAGGUUGCUCAGGGCCUCAUCUAACCUGGUCUUGAACACCUCGAGGGAUGGGGCAUCCACAACCUCUCUGUGCAACCUGUUCCAGUGCCUCACCACCCUCUGAGCGAAGAACUUCCUCCUAGCCUCUAAUCUAAAUCUCCCCUCUUUUAGUUUAAAACCAUUCCCCCUUGUCCUGUCAUUAUCUGAUUGAACAAAGAGUCACUCUCCAUCUUUUUUAUAAGUCCCCUUGAAGUACUGAAAGGUUGCAGUGAGGUCACCCCAGAGCCUUCUCUUUUGUAGGCUGAACAGCCCCAGCUCUCUCAGCCUUUCUUUGUAGGAGAGGUGCUCCAGCCCCUUGAUCAUCUUUGUGGCCCUCCUCUGGAUCUGCUCUAACAGCUCCACAUCCUUCUUGUGCUGGGAGCUCCAGACUUGGACGCAGUACUCCAAGUGGGGCCUCACAAGGGCUGAGUAGAAGGGGACAAUCACCUCCCUCGACCUGCUGGCCACUCCUCUUUUAAUGCAGCCCAGGAUGCAGUUGGCCUUCUGGGCUGCAAGCACGCACUGCCAACUCACAUCGAGCUUUUCAUCCGUCAGAAAAAAUCACAGAAUCACAGAACGGAUGAGGUUGGAAGGGACCUCUGAAGACCAUCUAGUCCAACCCCCCUGCCGAGCAGGAUCACCUAGAGCACGUUGCACAGGAUGGCAUCCAGGUGGAUUUUGAAUAUCUCCAAAGAAGGAGACUCCACAACCUCUCUGGGCAACCUGUUCCAGUGCUCUUUCACCCUCACAGUAAAGAAGUGCCCUCUCAUAUUCAGCCAGAACUUCCUGUGAUUCAGUUUGUGCCUGUCACCUCUCGUCCUGUCGCUGGGCACAACUGAAAAGAGACUGCCUCCACCCUCUUGACACCCUCCUCUCAGAUAUUUAUACACAUUGAUGAGGUCUCCCCUCAGUCUUCUCUUUUCCAGGAUAAACAGGCCCAGCUCUCAGCCUGUCCUCGUACAACAGGUGCUCCAGUCCCCUAACCAUCUUCGUAGCCCUCUUCUGGACUCGCUUCAGUAGUUCCACGUCCCUCUUGUACUGGGGAGCCCAGAACUGGACACAAUACUCUAGGUGAGGCCUCACCAGGGCUGAGUAGAGGGACAGGAUCACCUCCCUUGACCUACUGGCAACACUCUUCCUAAUGCACCCCGGGAUACCGUUGGCCUUCUGGGCCACAAGGGCGCAUUGCUGACUCGUGGUCAGCCUGCUGUCCACCAGGACUCCCAGGCUCCUCUGCAGAGCUGCUCUCCAGCAGGUCAGCCCUCAGCCUGUACUAGUGCUUGGGGUUAUUCCUCCCUAGGUGCAGGACCCUGCACUUGCCCUUGUUGAACUUCAUGAGGUUCCUCUCGGCCCAACCCUCCAGCCUGUCAAGGUCCCUCUGAAUGGCAGCACAGCCCUCUGGAGUAUCAGCCACUCUUCCGACCUUUGUGUUGUCAGCAAACUUGCUGAGGGUGCACUCCCGUUCCAUCAUCCAUGUCGUUGUUGAAUAAGUUGAACAAGACUGGACCCAGUACUGACCCCUGGGGGACACCGCUAGCUACAGGCCUCCAACUAGACUCAGCACCACUGAGCACAACCCUCUGAGCUCUGCCAUCCAGCCAAUUAUCCAUCCACCUCACUGUCCACUCAUCCAUCCCACACUUCCUGAGCUUGUCUAUGAGGAUGUUAUGGGAGACAGUGUCAAAAGCCUUGCUGAAGUCAAGGUAGACCACAUCCACUUCUCUCCCCUCAUCUACCCAGCUAGUCAUCUCAUCAUAGAAAGCUAUCAAAUUGGUUAAGCAUGAUUUCCCCUUGGUGACUCCAUGCUGACUACUCCUGAUCACCUUAUCCUCCACAUGCUUGGAGAUGAUCUCCAGGAUGAGCAUCGCCUUUCCAGGGAUGGACGUGAGGCUGACUGGCCUGUAGUUGCCUGGGUCCUCCUUCUUGCCCUUUUUGAAGACUGGCGUGAUAUUGACUCUCUUCCAGUCCUCAGGCACCUCCCCUGUUCUCCAUGACCUUUCAAAGAUGAUGGAGAGUGGCCUAGCAAUAACAUUGGCCAGCUCCCUCAGCACCCAUGGGUGCGUUCCAUUGGGGCCUGUGGAUUUGCGGAUGUCAAGUUUGCUUAGAUGAUCCUCUUCGACCGAGGGAAAUCCUCCUUUCUCUGGACUUCCUCUCUUGUCUCCAGAGUCUGAGAUUCCUGAGGGCUUAUCUUAGCAGUAAAGACUGACGCAAAAAAGCCAUUCAGCAACUCUGCCUUCUCUAUAUCCUUUGUCACCAGGGCACCCGCCCCAUUCAGCAGCAGGCCAACAUUUUCCCCAGUCUUCCUUUUUCUACUGAUGUAUUUAAAGAAGCCCUUCUUGUUGUCCUUGACAUCCCUUGCUAGAUUUAAUUCCAAAUGGGCCUUAGCCUUCCUUGUCGCAUCUCUGCAUACGCUGACAGUGUCCCUAUAUUCCUCCCAAGUGGCCUGUCCCUUUUUCCACAUGCUGUAAACUUCCUUCUUCUGUCUGAGCUUCACCAGGAGCUCCCUGUUCAUCCAUGCAGGUCUCCUGCAGUGCAGCAAGCUGGAAUUCUCCAGCACUGUGAAGGUCAGGGCAUACGUCUUCCAAACAUUCUAUCAGUUUUUUAGGAUUCUGCACUUGUUCAGGGGUGAAGUUCAAAACCAUCGGAGGAGACAACUGUGACAGGUACCUGCCCAUAUCCUCCCACAUACCUUGCCACCCACAACCACACUGUCUUGGGGCAGAUUCCUGGGUGGUAUUCUUAANAUGGAAGAAUUGUAAAAGGAAAUGAAUCACCAUAUAGGCUGUGGUUACACACAGCCUUGAAAAAAAGUCUACGUGGUUUGAUUUUGGUGAUGAAGGACUGGCUUUGUGCCUGGAAGGCCACAUUGCAGCAGCUGUUUAGUGCAGCAUUGCCCCAGAUGGAUCACUGAAAGAAAAAAAAAAGGGGGGGAGGCAGGGUCGAAAGAAGAAAAAACAUGGAUACAGGAACAUAAACAUGACGAAAGUACUACAUCUAAAUGUGGUUUUUUUUGUUUGUUUUGUUUUUUUUUUUCUUUUCGUUUUUUUGGAAGUGAAGGGGAAGGUCUCCUGCCCCUUUGCUUGCCUUCUUGCUCAUAGGGAUGCACCAAUCUUGAGCUUGGAGGAAGGGCAACAACCAACACAACUCCAAACCUUGUGACGGACCCUGCAGCCACUCCAACCCCUGCGAUGGGCCCUGUGGCCACUCCAACCCCUGUGACAGUCCCUGCAGCAACCCCAACCCCUGCGAUGGGCCCCAUGGCUCCGCCAGAGAACCAACCUGUGCCAGUAUCAGUCGCCCCUAUAUGCAAGACAAAACAGUGCAUGUGAAAGUCAGUUCAGGAGGCCUGUGCACCUGAAAGCUGAGAUUGUCUUUGCAGGAGAGGGAAGGAACCUGAACUGAGAAGUGUUUGUUCCAUCUUUCCUUCCAUAGGAGUGCUGACAGAGUUGCUUAUAAAUAGCGGCAAUCUAGGGUCAAUCUAGAAAAAAGUUAAUUGAAAGGUAACUGAAUCAGAUUUGAAUGUGAACUCGAUUUCAGAAGUUACUUGGGAUAUGAGGUAUGAAAGUCACAUGAAAAGAGGUACCGUGGUGUUAGGGGCAGAAAGAUGCAUUUGUCUGUUUUGCUUUCACUUCCUAGGAGGAGGGAACUGCAAUAGCUUGUCUUUCCUAGCGUAUCUGCUACACUUAAAUUGGGUAAAGCCCCAGCCCAUGAGAAAAUAAAAUACAAGCUUUACCUAGUCA